AAAGUUCCCUUUGCAUUCACUAAAAGGUAAAAACCCAAGCUCUGUGAUCGCUCGACAAAUCUUUGACUGGGAUGAAGGUGAAAGCAAAAACUUAUGCCACCCAACGUCGCAGAAUCCCAUGAUGUUUUAGACAAGAAAACAAUGUUUCGCGCCAGACAAACUUUGGCCCGAAUCAAACUCACUCUUCGGAGCAAGCAAUUUUGCAGCAGCACUACCAAACCCAACAACAAUAAUAACAAAAGCAUCAGUGAAAAAACAGAUUCAAAAGUGAGCAAAUACGAGGAGGCGAACAGGCAACUAGAUAAUCUUGACUUCAUGAAAGCUGCUAAGAUCCUCUUCAGUGACCCUCCAAAGAAAAAGAAAUUUGGGAUUGAUUUCCAUCUGGUACAACUCUUCUUCACCUGCUUGCCUUCACUGGCUGUAUAUUUGGUGGCUCAAUACGCUCGACAUGAAAUGAAAAAAAUGGAUGCGGAACUAGAGAUGAAAAAGAAAGAAGAAGAGGAGAAAGCAAAAGAGGAAGAACGAAAAGCUAUGGAAGAAAAAGCUCAGUCUGAGUCGGAGCUUCUAGAAGUGAAGGAGAGAAUAGGUAAACUAGAGGAGGUCGUUAAGGAAAUUGCGGUUGAAUCUAAGAAACAAUCAGGUGGCAGUGUAACAAAAACCCAGGUCCAGGAAGACAGUAGCAAGACAGUAAAACAGAAGUCUCUGGGACCAGCAUCAAUUCCUGAUUCUUCGCCACAGGAUCAGAAGGGCAAGACCCAAAAUGAAGGAACUUCCCCAGAUGCUAAGAGAUAGAAGCCUUGUUGCUAAGUUCUGUAGAAAGUGGAAGAGCUCAUUUUUUGACAAAGCAUGCGCCUGACACACAGGUCCUGAUGAUCCUAAUGAUGACAGUUCAUCUCCCUCGUCGGCUAUUCGGUACCAUGUGAAAUGGUCAAUGUGGAGGAGGAUGAAAUGCGCCUGGAUUUGACUAGGGUCAGAUGCGGAGGAGAGCAAGGAGUUCACCUAGCCCAGGCCGAGAGCGGGAGCGAGAAGGUAAAGCCCUUCCAACAAAUGCAUUUUCAGGGGCAGUCUUGGACUGAUCAAGAUGAAUGAAUCAUAUCAGAACAACUCUCAUAUAAUUUAAUGUUAAACCUGGUCUAAGUUAGAAGUCAAGGUGAGAGUUUUUUCUUAUCAAUUUCAUCAUUCUUUUUCUCAGUUUCAUCAUCAUAUUUUUUUUACCAACCAACUAGGCUGUCUUUGAACUAAUCAAAUUGAUUGAAAUGUUAGGACAACUUCAACUUAAUUUAAUUUUAAACUCGGGUUAGAUAAAAAGUUGAGCUAAAAGGUUUUUAUAUAUAUCAUCCCCUUUUCUCAAUUUCAUUUUUAAUUAUUUUUUUUAUGAAUUAGCCAAAA
Molecule: RNA transcript, 1389 nt
Organism: Populus trichocarpa (black cottonwood)
Lineage: Eukaryota; Viridiplantae; Streptophyta; Magnoliopsida; Malpighiales; Salicaceae
Gene name: stress response protein NST1
Exons: 6
Source: RefSeq, a predicted model, not a curated record